Molecule: small nucleolar RNA, 75 nt
Organism: Oryctolagus cuniculus (rabbit)
Lineage: Eukaryota; Metazoa; Chordata; Mammalia; Lagomorpha; Leporidae
Source: Ensembl
CUGAGCUGAGGAUGGACAAAGUUAUCCCUGUCUGAAUCGGGUGUCGGUGAGGAAUUCUGUGGUGCUGAAGCUCGG